This 253-nucleotide ribosomal RNA is filed under the name uncultured bacterium. RNAcentral describes it as "partial 16S ribosomal RNA". It matches the Rfam family "Bacterial small subunit ribosomal RNA", at positions 524 to 776 of the family's 1533-position model. The record is from RNAcentral.
UACGGAGGGUGCGAGCGUUGUUCGGAAUCACUGGGCGUAAAGCGCGUGUAGGCGGCCCACUAAGUCUGAUGUGAAAGCCCGGGGCUCACCCCCGGAAGUGCAUUGGAAACUGGUGGACUCGAGUCCCGGAGAGGAGAGUGGAAUUCCUGGUGUAGCGGUGAAAUGCUUAGAUAUCGUCAAGAACACCUAUAGCGAAGGCAGCUUACUAGGCUGUAACUGACGCUGAGGCACGAAAGUGUGGGGAUCAAACAGG